RNAcentral lists this ribosomal RNA (1455 nucleotides) under uncultured Bordetella sp. Its description in RNAcentral is "partial 16S-23S ribosomal RNA intergenic spacer". It matches the Rfam family "Bacterial small subunit ribosomal RNA". The record is from RNAcentral. Lineage: Bacteria; Pseudomonadati; Pseudomonadota; Betaproteobacteria; Burkholderiales; Alcaligenaceae.
UCAGAUCGAAUGCUGAAGUGGAUGCUUACACAUGCAAGUCGAACGGCAGCACGGACUUCGGUCUGGUGGCGAGUGGCGAACGGGUGAGUAAUGUACGAACGUGCCUAGUAGCGGGGGAUAACUACGCGGAGCGUAGCCAAUACCGCAUACGCCCCUUCGGGGGAAAGCGGGGACCUUCGGGCCUCGCACUAUUAGAGAGCGGCCGAUAUCGGAUUAGCUUAGUUGGUGGGGUAACGGCUCACCGGCGCACGAUCCGUAGCUGGUUUGAGAGGACGACCAGCCACACUGGGACUGAGACACGGCCCAGACUCCUACGGGAGGCAGCAGGGGGAAUUUUGGGCAAUGGGGGGAAACCCUGAUCCAGCCAUCCCGCGUGUGCGAUGAAGGCCUUCGGGUUGUAAAGCACUUUUUGGCAGGAAAGAAACGGCACGAUAAUACCCCGUGCAACUGACGGUACCUGCAGAAUAAGCACCGGCUAACUACGUGCCAGCAGCCGCGGUAAUACGUAGGGUGCAAGCGUUAACCGGAAUUACUGGGCGUAAAGCGUGCGCAGGCGGUUCGGAAAGAAAGAUGUGAAAUCCCAGAGCUUAACUUUUGGAACUGCAUUUUUAACUACCGAGCUAGAGUGUGUCAGAGGGAGGUGGAAUUCCGCGUGUAGCAGUGAAAUGCGUAGAUAUGCGGAGGAACACCGAUGGCGAAGGCAGCCUCCUGGGAUAACACCGACGCUCAUGCACGAAAGCGUGGGGAGCAAACAGGAUUAGAUACUCCCAGUCCACGCCCUAAACGAUGUCAACUAGCUGUUGGGGCCUUCGGGCCUUGGUAGCGCAGCUAACGCGUGAAGUUGACCGCCUGGGGAGCACCUCACCGCCGAUCGUCCCGACGGACGUAACUGCUGUCGCCGCCAGACGACGGGCAUUAUCUCCAGGUUCUUCUGAAAACUUUAUCACCUUGACAUCCGAACCUGAAGAGACCUGGAAUCUUUCACGAAAACCAUAACCACAGGUGCCGCAUGGCUGUCGUCAGCUCGUGUCGUGAGAUGUUGGGUUAAGUCCCGCAACGAGCGCAACCCUUGUCAUUAGUUGCUACGAAAGGGCACUCUAAUGAGACUGCCGGUGACAAACCGAGGAAGGUGAUGACGUCAAGUCCUCAUGGCCCUUAUGGGUAGGGCUUCACACGUCAUACAAUGGUCGGGACAGAGGGUCGCCAACCCGCGAGGGGGGAGCCAAUCCCAGAAACCCGAUCGUAGUCCGGAUCGCAGUCUACAACUCGACUGCGUGAAGUCGGAAUCGCUAGUAAUCGCAUCAUAUGCCUGCGGUGAAUACGUUCCCGGGUCUUGUACACACCGCCCGUCACACCAUGGAGUGGGUUUUACUCACGAAGUAGUUAGCCUAACCGUAAGGAGGGUUAUUACUACCACGGUAGGAUUCAUGACUGGGUGUAGUCGUAACAAGGUAA